UGAGGAAUUUUCGGCAAUGGGGGCAACCCUGACCGAGCAACGCCGCGUGCAGGAUGACGGCCUUCGGGUUGUAAACUGCUUUUCUGGGGGACGAGCGAGGACGGUACCCCAGGAAUCAGCCCCGGCUCACUACGUGCCAGCAGCCGCGGUAAUACGUAGGGGGCGAGCGUUGUCCGGAGUGACUGGGCGUAAAGGGCCCGCAGGCGGUCGUGCGCGUUUUGAGUGACAGCUCCCGGCUUCACUGGGAGAGGGUUCAGAAGACGGCACGACUUGAGGGUGAGAGAGGGACACGGAAUUCCGGGUGUAGUGGUGAAAUGCGUAGAUAUCCGGAGGAACACCGAAGGCGAAGGCAGUGUCCUGGCUCAUACCUGACGCUGAGGGGCGAAAGCCAGGGGAGCGAACGG
This 404-nucleotide ribosomal RNA is filed under the name uncultured bacterium. RNAcentral's name for it is "bacterial SSU rRNA". It matches the Rfam family "Bacterial small subunit ribosomal RNA", at positions 355 to 775 of the family's 1533-position model. The record is from RNAcentral.